GAUGAAGAACGCAGCGAAAUGCGAUAAUUAAUGUGAAUUGCAGAAUUUAGUGAAUCAUCGAAUCUUUGAACGCACAUUGCGCCCCUUGGUAUUCCGGGGGGCAUGCCUGUUCGAGCGUCAUUUCAACCCUCAAGCUCUGCUUGGUCUUGGGCCGCGCCGGCAACGGCGGGCCUCAAAAACAGUGGCGGCGCCAUCUGGUCCCUCAGCGUAGUACAUCUCUCGCUCCAGGGUCCGGUGGCCGCCUGCCAGAACCCCCCAACUCUGUGGUUGACCUCGGAUCAGGUAGGGAUACCCGCUGAACUUAAGCAUAUCAAUAAGCGGAGGA
Molecule: unclassified non-coding RNA, 325 nt
Filed under: soil metagenome
Description: partial contains 5.8S ribosomal RNA, internal transcribed spacer 2, and large subunit ribosomal RNA
Rfam family: 5.8S ribosomal RNA (bases 1-120)
Source: RNAcentral